Molecule: ribosomal RNA, 344 nt
Filed under: uncultured eukaryote
Lineage: Eukaryota
Description: SSU rRNA
Rfam family: Eukaryotic small subunit ribosomal RNA
Source: RNAcentral
AUAGCGUAUAUUAAAGUUGUUGCAGUUAAAAAGCUCGUAGUUGGAUUUUGGGAUAAGCUAGUUGGUCCGGCGCAAGCUGAGAACUGAUGGGCAUAUCCUUCCUCUCGAAAGCGGCAUGUGCGCUUAACUGAGUGUGUGUCGUGUUCGGGACUUUUACUGUGAAAAAAUUAGAGUGUUCAAAGCAGGCUAUCGCUUGAAUAUUUCAGCAUGGAAUAAUGGAAUAGGACGUUGGUUCUAUUUUGUUGGUUUCUGGGACCGAAGUAAUGAUUAAUAGGGAUAGUUGGGGGCAUUAGUAUUUAAUUGCUAGAGGUGAAAUUCUUGGAUUUACUGAAGACUAACUACUG